UUGCAUCUGUGUUUUGUUACCGUUUAGAAAAAGCAACUUUCCUACAGCGGACAUCUUCAAUUUAACAGACCAAAACACUAAGAGGAAACUACCUAUCUUAUCAUUUUCUUUUCUCUCAGGUCAGGUGUUCCUAAGGAGUACCUGAGUGGAGGUCAAAGGUCAACUCAGCGCAGGAACCGGACAUGCUCCGACAGCUCCGUUUAUGACACUGAGCGUAUGCUGCCCGGUGUCAACGGGGACUCGUCUUCCAUUCCCGAAGAGAGAGGAGGCAUGAGCCCCCCAAAGACCACACUGACUGACACGGACACAGACCUGUCCAUCUUAAGACCUGACGUCCAUCACGACCCUGCUAGACUCUGAGAGGACGAAUUGACAGACAUUUGGUCUCCACUGGGAUUGUCCUCUGAAGUCAGCUGGUUGCCAAACACAUGCACUUUUGGAAUCAUAAAGACUCUUUUCCUGAAGUCUGUCUUAUGGGUUUCAGUUGCACAGGACACACUGGGGGUCAAAAAAGACAGCAGGAAAGACCUGAACCUGAGACAAAGAAAGGAACAGACACUAUGGACACACUCUUGGGGAUAAUGGUGGCCUUGUAGUUGGGAAGGAUUGUAAUCUGAAGCUCAAAUCCUGAUACAAAUCUGUGAAUGAAAAGGGCGGUUUUUGUUAAAUAUGUGAUGUGUAGUAGACAGCUUCCUGGUAUUUUAUGAAUAACAAUAACUGGAUUGAGUGUUCACGGUACCCAAUAAUGUGCAGGAAGUGCUGAAUUUUAGAGGUCAUGUCUUCUAAAGGUUUGUUUUCGUGGCGUUUUGAUGGGACGUUGAAAUCAAAAGCAUCUUCUCGUAUAGUUCCACAUACUCAAGAACUUGCCAAGCAUCUCCUACAUUCCUCUUCCAGGCCAGUUGCGGAGGAUGGAACCAGACUGAUAAGACGGCGUCCCUGAAGGUUCCUGAAGCCACUGGUCUCUGCCACGGCAUACUCACAGAGAGCAGCGGCUCUUCGGAUGCCUUUGUUUGUUGUUUUCUUUGCACAAAUCUUUCACAUUAAAUGUGCCGCCAUGCUUCUUCUCCAUAGUUCAUCUGGUCCCGCUCGGUUCCAGACUC
Etheostoma cragini (Arkansas darter) is the source of this 1100-nucleotide long non-coding RNA. RefSeq lists it as uncharacterized. Lineage: Eukaryota; Metazoa; Chordata; Actinopteri; Perciformes; Percidae. The record is from RefSeq and is a predicted model, not a curated record. The transcript has 3 exons.